CCGACACGGGGAGGUAGUGACGAAAAAUAACAAUACGGGACUCUAACGAGGCCCCGUAAUUGGAAUGAGUACAUUCUAAAACUCUUAACGAGUAUCCAUUGGAGGGCAAGUCUGGUGCCAGCAGCCGCGGUAAUUCCAGCUCCAAAAGUGUAUGCUAAAGUUGUUGCGGUUGAAAAGCUCGUAGUUGGAUAUUGGGCGGGCGCGUGCGGUCCGUCGCAGGGCGUGCACUGUUCGCGUCAGCUCCGCCUUCGGUUCUCCGCGGGUGCUCUUGACUGAGUGUCCGCGGUGGCCGACAAGUUUACUUUGAAAAAAUUAGAGUGUUCAAAGCAGGCCGGUCGCCUGCAUAGUGUUGCAUGGAAUAAUGGAAUAGGACCUCGGUUCUAUUUUGUUGGUUUUCGGAAGCGAGGUAAUGAUUAAGAGGGACAGCCGGGGGCGUCCGUACUCUGCCGUUAGAGGUGAAAUUCUUGGAUCGGCGGAAGACGAACUACUGCGAAAGCAUUCGCCAAGAAUGUUUUCUUUAAUCAAGAGCGAAAGUCAGAGGUUCGAAGACGAUCAGAUACCGUCCUAGUUCUGACUAUAAACGAUGCCAACUAGCGAUCGGGAGGCGUUACCAUGACGACCUUCCCGGCAGCUUCCGGGAAACCAAAGUCUUUGGGUUCCGGGGGAAGUAUGGUUGCAAAGCUGAAACUUAAAGGAAUUGACGGAAGGGCACCACCAGGAGUGGAGCCUGCGGCUUAAUUUGACUCAACACGGGGAAACUCACCCGGCCCGGACACGGGAAGGAU
RNAcentral lists this ribosomal RNA (785 nucleotides) under Botryllus schlosseri. RNAcentral describes it as "SSU rRNA". It matches the Rfam family "Eukaryotic small subunit ribosomal RNA", at positions 451 to 1240 of the family's 1831-position model. The record is from RNAcentral. Lineage: Eukaryota; Metazoa; Chordata; Ascidiacea; Stolidobranchia; Styelidae.